GAUGAACGCUAGCGGCAGGCUUAAUACAUGCAAGUCGUGGGGCAGCAUGAGUAGCAAUACUUGAUGGCGACCGGCAAACGGGUGAGGAACACGUACACAACCUUCCUUCAAGCGGGGAAUAGCCCAGAGAAAUUUGGAUUAAUACCCCAUAAUAUAUUUGAUAAGGCAUCUUAUUAAUAUUAAAGCUUCGGCACUUGAUGAUGGGUGUGCGGCUGAUUAGAUAGUUGGCGGGGUAACGGCCCACCAAGUCUACGAUCAGUAGCUGAUGUGAGAGCAUGAUCAGCCACACGGGCACUGAGACACGGGCCCGACUCCUACGGGAGGCAGCAGUAAGGAUAUUGGACAAUGGACGAAAGUACUGAUCCAGCCAUGCCGCGUGAAGGAUUAAGGUCC
Molecule: ribosomal RNA, 393 nt
Filed under: uncultured bacterium
Lineage: Bacteria
Description: bacterial SSU rRNA
Rfam family: Bacterial small subunit ribosomal RNA
Source: RNAcentral